This 2900-nucleotide ribosomal RNA is filed under the name Escherichia coli 5-366-08_S1_C1. RNAcentral's name for it is "bacterial LSU rRNA". It matches the Rfam family "Bacterial large subunit ribosomal RNA". The record is from RNAcentral. Lineage: Bacteria; Pseudomonadati; Pseudomonadota; Gammaproteobacteria; Enterobacterales; Enterobacteriaceae.
UAAGCGACUAAGCGUACACGGUGGAUGCCCUGGCAGUCAGAGGCGAUGAAGGACGUGCUAAUCUGCGAUAAGCGUCGGUAAGGUGAUAUGAACCGUUAUAACCGGCGAUUUCCGAAUGGGGAAACCCAGUGUGAUUCGUCACACUAUCAUUAACUGAAUCCAUAGGUUAAUGAGGCGAACCGGGGGAACUGAAACAUCUAAGUACCCCGAGGAAAAGAAAUCAACCGAGAUUCCCCCAGUAGCGGCGAGCGAACGGGGAGCAGCCCAGAGCCUGAAUCAGUGUGUGUGUUAGUGGAAGCGUCUGGAAAGGCGCGCGAUACAGGGUGACAGCCCCGUACACAAAAAUGCACAUACUGUGAGCUCGAUGAGUAGGGCGGGACACGUGGUAUCCUGUCUGAAUAUGGGGGGACCAUCCUCCAAGGCUAAAUACUCCUGACUGACCGAUAGUGAACCAGUACCGUGAGGGAAAGGCGAAAAGAACCCCGGCGAGGGGAGUGAAAAAGAACCUGAAACCGUGUACGUACAAGCAGUGGGAGCCUCUUUAUGGGGUGACUGCGUACCUUUUGUAUAAUGGGUCAGCGACUUAUAUUCUGUAGCAAGGUUAACCGAAUAGGGGAGCCGAAGGGAAACCGAGUCUUAACUGGGCGUUAAGUUGCAGGGUAUAGACCCGAAACCCGGUGAUCUAGCCAUGGGCAGGUUGAAGGUUGGGUAACACUAACUGGAGGACCGAACCGACUAAUGUUGAAAAAUUAGCGGAUGACUUGUGGCUGGGGGUGAAAGGCCAAUCAAACCGGGAGAUAGCUGGUUCUCCCCGAAAGCUAUUUAGGUAGCGCCUCGUGAAUUCAUCUCCGGGGGUAGAGCACUGUUUCGGCAAGGGGGUCAUCCCGACUUACCAACCCGAUGCAAACUGCGAAUACCGGAGAAUGUUAUCACGGGAGACACACGGCGGGUGCUAACGUCCGUCGUGAAGAGGGAAACAACCCAGACCGCCAGCUAAGGUCCCAAAGUCAUGGUUAAGUGGGAAACGAUGUGGGAAGGCCCAGACAGCCAGGAUGUUGGCUUAGAAGCAGCCAUCAUUUAAAGAAAGCGUAAUAGCUCACUGGUCGAGUCGGCCUGCGCGGAAGAUGUAACGGGGCUAAACCAUGCACCGAAGCUGCGGCAGCGACACUAUGUGUUGUUGGGUAGGGGAGCGUUCUGUAAGCCUGUGAAGGUGUGCUGUGAGGUAUGCUGGAGGUAUCAGAAGUGCGAAUGCUGACAUAAGUAACGAUAAAGCGGGUGAAAAGCCCGCUCGCCGGAAGACCAAGGGUUCCUGUCCAACGUUAAUCGGGGCAGGGUGAGUCGACCCCUAAGGCGAGGCCGAAAGGCGUAGUCGAUGGGAAACAGGUUAAUAUUCCUGUACUUGGUGUUACUGCGAAGGGGGGACGGAGAAGGCUAUGUUGGCCGGGCGACGGUUGUCCCGGUUUAAGCGUGUAGGCUGGUUUUCCAGGCAAAUCCGGAAAAUCAAGGCUGAGGCGUGAUGACGAGGCACUACGGUGCUGAAGCAACAAAUGCCCUGCUUCCAGGAAAAGCCUCUAAGCAUCAGGUAACAUCAAAUCGUACCCCAAACCGACACAGGUGGUCAGGUAGAGAAUACCAAGGCGCUUGAGAGAACUCGGGUGAAGGAACUAGGCAAAAUGGUGCCGUAACUUCGGGAGAAGGCACGCUGAUAUGUAGGUGAAGUCCCUUGCGGAUGGAGCUGAAAUCAGUCGAAGAUACCAGCUGGCUGCAACUGUUUAUUAAAAACACAGCACUGUGCAAACACGAAAGUGGACGUAUACGGUGUGACGCCUGCCCGGUGCCGGAAGGUUAAUUGAUGGGGUUAGCGGUAACGCGAAGCUCUUGAUCGAAGCCCCGGUAAACGGCGGCCGUAACUAUAACGGUCCUAAGGUAGCGAAAUUCCUUGUCGGGUAAGUUCCGACCUGCACGAAUGGCGUAAUGAUGGCCAGGCUGUCUCCACCCGAGACUCAGUGAAAUUGAACUCGCUGUGAAGAUGCAGUGUACCCGCGGCAAGACGGAAAGACCCCGUGAACCUUUACUAUAGCUUGACACUGAACAUUGAGCCUUGAUGUGUAGGAUAGGUGGGAGGCUUUGAAGUGUGGACGCCAGUCUGCAUGGAGCCGACCUUGAAAUACCACCCUUUAAUGUUUGAUGUUCUAACGUUGGCCCCUGAUCGGGGUUGCGGACAGUGUCUGGUGGGUAGUUUGACUGGGGCGGUCUCCUCCUAAAGAGUAACGGAGGAGCACGAAGGUUGGCUAAUCCUGGUCGGACAUCAGGAGGUUAGUGCAAUGGCAUAAGCCAGCUUGACUGCGAGCGUGACGGCGCGAGCAGGUGCGAAAGCAGGUCAUAGUGAUCCGGUGGUUCUGAAUGGAAGGGCCAUCGCUCAACGGAUAAAAGGUACUCCGGGGAUAACAGGCUGAUACCGCCCAAGAGUUCAUAUCGACGGCGGUGUUUGGCACCUCGAUGUCGGCUCAUCACAUCCUGGGGCUGAAGUAGGUCCCAAGGGUAUGGCUGUUCGCCAUUUAAAGUGGUACGCGAGCUGGGUUUAGAACGUCGUGAGACAGUUCGGUCCCUAUCUGCCGUGGGCGCUGGAGAACUGAGGGGGGCUGCUCCUAGUACGAGAGGACCGGAGUGGACGCAUCACUGGUGUUCGGGUUGUCAUGCCAAUGGCACUGCCCGGUAGCUAAAUGCGGAAGAGAUAAGUGCUGAAAGCAUCUAAGCACGAAACUUGCCCCGAGAUGAGUUCUCCCUGACUCCUUGAGAGUCCUGAAGGAACGUUGAAGACGACGACGUUGAUAGGCCGGGUGUGUAAGCGCAGCGAUGCGUUGAGCUAACCGGUACUAAUGAACCGUGAGGCUUAACCU